This is a long non-coding RNA of Etheostoma cragini (Arkansas darter), 134 nucleotides long. RefSeq lists it as uncharacterized. NCBI's taxonomy places the organism in Eukaryota, Metazoa, Chordata, Actinopteri, Perciformes, Percidae. The record is from RefSeq and is a predicted model, not a curated record. The transcript has 3 exons.
AAUAUUGCAGUUUGUAGGGUAAAUAGGACAUACAUGCAACCUCAUAAUCCCAUUGACACCUCUUUCCUCUGCAAAUCUCACAUUUUGAAACUGCUACUGAAAACGGGCAGAUCUUAAAAAAAGCUCAUGGUUGA